GUGGGCGCUAGGUGUGGGGAACAUUCCACGUUCUCCGUGCCGCAGCUAACGCAUUAAGCGCCCCGCCUGGGGAGUACGGCCGCAAGGCUAAAACUCAAAGGAAUUGACGGGGGCCCGCACAAGCGGCGGAGCAUGCGGCUUAAUUCGAUGCAACGCGAAGAACCUUACCUAGGCUUGACAGUUGGGGAAAACUGGCAGAGAUGUCAGGUCCGCAAGGGCCCCAAAACAGGUGGUGCAUGGCUGUCGUCAG
Molecule: ribosomal RNA, 250 nt
Filed under: uncultured bacterium
Lineage: Bacteria
Description: partial 16S ribosomal RNA
Rfam family: Bacterial small subunit ribosomal RNA
Source: RNAcentral